AUCCAGUUGACGAGUCCCAAAUAGGACGAAGUGCCGCGCGUCCUGGAU
Molecule: non-coding RNA, 48 nt
Organism: Schistosoma mansoni
Lineage: Eukaryota; Metazoa; Platyhelminthes; Trematoda; Strigeidida; Schistosomatidae
Source: Rfam